Molecule: long non-coding RNA, 421 nt
Organism: Alligator sinensis (Chinese alligator)
Lineage: Eukaryota; Metazoa; Chordata; Crocodylia; Alligatoridae
Exons: 3
Source: RefSeq, a predicted model, not a curated record
UUAGAACCUCAAGAUGGAUCUAAAUAAUGAAUGCAGAAGCCCAGCAGAUUUUCAGUGCAAAGAUGUAUCAGAUGAAGAUGUGGCAGGAAAGCAGGAGGAGACCUUCUGAGGAGAAAACGCUUGACAUACCAGUGUGUCAGUGCAGACGGGGGUUUGAGCCUGGGUGGUACAGUCCCGAGCCAUGCGCCACCUGUUCUUAUGGCAUAAGCAGAAAUGUUCAGUACUCUAUCCCCUGGCUUUCUGCACCAUAUGUAAAUGUUCUCUCUGGUGCUAACUUGUGAGAUUGAUCAAAAUGCAGCUAUCACAGUGGACAGCAAUAAUGUGGAAGAGGUAGGUUCAUCAACCAGGAGUCGCAAUUGAUGAUAAUACUGUUUCUUCAUUGUGUAUUGUUCUGGCCAAUCUUGCUGGCUUACUGGUAGCA